AUGGUGCCUCCUGGUCCGCCGUCGCCGCCACUCCGCUCCGCAGGCGCCGCCAUCUCGCUCUGCCGGCAUCGCUCGGCCUUGGCUAACCGCUGGACGUGGAACAAGAUGGGGAUUGUAUUCGGUUUCUUGAGCCGAUAUAGCAGCUUACGGAGCAGCAGGCGGACGGGGUGCGAGGGCGGCCGGGUUCGCGGAGGAGGCGGAGGCCGGGCUGUGGACGCGAGUCGGUGGGGCUUGCCUGGCGGAGCUCGGGCGGAGCCGGACAGCCGGAAGCCGGCCCGGCGCGGGAGUCGGAGUCCAGGUGCGGGUGGAGCAGGCCGAGCACAGGAGCUGGCGUCCGGCUGGCGACGGCAAACCGGCACGGAGGCGAAGCCGGUCCGGGCCGGGUGCAAAGACGGCAGGGCGCGGGGAUUCGUUGCGGAGCGGCGCAGAGGCCGGCCCGCGGAUCCGUGCACACGGAGGGGCGCAGAUGCAAGCUGGGGAGGCUGCAGGCGUGAGCAGAUGCCGGGCGGCCCGUGGCUGCGGCCGGCGCAGACGGGGGCGCGGACGGAGGUAGAGCCGGCGCACGCGGGGCGCAGUAAGGACGUCGUGGGGUCGGACGGUGGCGCUAGGCUGGAGGUCGAGGCAAUGCACACCCGCGCGCGAGAAAGGAGCAGCGCGCAGUGGUGCUUGGGCACAGGCGAUGCAGGGGCGCUGCUGCUCGAGGGCCGAGGGAGCCCGCGCUGGGAACGGCCCACCGCCGUGGCCGCAGUGAGUUACAGAGCAGCGAGCAACGGGACGGCUCGGGCAGGUCGAGCUGGGAGCAGCGGGGCGGCCCGGGCGCGCAGAUGGGGGAGCCUGCGACAGCCACGGCUCGGGAGCUGGAAGAGGCUGCAGCCGUGGCGAGGGCAGUUGGCGGAGCAGAAGCAGCGCGAGGAUGCGGCAGGAGCAGCUACAGCCGGAGAGCAACGCCAUGGAUUUUGGAAGCGUAUGGACAUUGUCUGA
RNAcentral lists this ribosomal RNA (981 nucleotides) under Triticum aestivum (bread wheat). RNAcentral's name for it is "partial small subunit ribosomal RNA". Lineage: Eukaryota; Viridiplantae; Streptophyta; Magnoliopsida; Poales; Poaceae. The record is from RNAcentral.